This 623-nucleotide long non-coding RNA is filed under the name Homo sapiens (human). RNAcentral's name for it is "uncharacterized LOC105371824 (LOC105371824)". The record is from RNAcentral. Lineage: Eukaryota; Metazoa; Chordata; Mammalia; Primates; Hominidae.
CGCUCAGUCAGCAGGGUGGGCGUGGCCUUCUCCCUGCCUGCAUCUGAAAUGCAGUUUAAAGGUCAGGAAGACUGAUCUUUCGCUUCUGAAUCCUCUGAGAGUUCCUCAGGCCCUCCUGUGUGAGGCCCAGCUGCUUCCUGCCUGGUCUUCCUGGAUCCACAGAGCUGCAGCUGCAGUUCCUCUUCCCCUGACGUCUGAGGCCGGGCCUGCUCCAGGUCGGAGGUAUAGCGGGGUGACGAAGAGGAGGCUGCAAUGACCAUCAUGUCUCUGUGACCACACGAUUACCCAUCGGCUCCCACACCCCUCUGCCUGCCAGGAAGCUGAGGCUCAAGAGAACUGAGAGGAGGGGAACAACGGCCGUUGAGGCCCCCGUGGGCCAAGCAGUGUGCCAGGCACUCUAUCAAACAAUGGAGGUAGGUGAGCUUAUCCCCACUGUACAGAUGAGGAAACUGAGGUUCAGAGAACUGGUUGCCCAGGUCACACAGCUUGGAGGAAGCAGAAUAUAGAAUGCUAUCUGACUCCAAACCCAUGCUUCCACUAUCGCGCCAUCCUAUCAGGCAGCUAACGAAUGAUAAUGAAUCUAUAACAACGUUAUUAUCUGAGCUAAAAAAAAAAAAAAAAAA